RNAcentral lists this ribosomal RNA (475 nucleotides) under uncultured bacterium. RNAcentral describes it as "bacterial SSU rRNA". It matches the Rfam family "Bacterial small subunit ribosomal RNA", at positions 627 to 1102 of the family's 1533-position model. The record is from RNAcentral.
UGGAAACUGGAUGGCUUGAGUGUAGGAGAGGUUAGUGGAAUUCCCGGUGUAGCGGUGAAAUGCGUAGAGAUCGGGAGGAACACCAGUGGGCGAAGGCGACUAACUGGACUAUGACUGACGCUGAGGCGCGAAAGUGUGGGGAGCAAACAGGAUUAGAUACCUGGUAGUCCACACUGUAAACGAUGAAUGCUAGGUGUAGGGGGUAUCGACCCUUCUGUGCCGGAGUAAACACAAUAAGCAUUCCGCCUGGGGAGUACGGCCGCAAGGUUGAAACUCAAAGAAAUUGACGGGGGCCCGCACAAGCAGCGGAGCAUGUGGUUUAAUUCGAAGCAACGCGAAGAACCUUACCAGGUCUUGACAUCCAGGUAAACUUGCAGAGAUGCAAGGUGUGCUUGCACAAUCUGAGACAGGUGGUGCAUGGUUGUCGUCAGCUCGUGUCGUGAGAUGUUGGGUUAAGUCCCGCAACGAGCGCAAC